UUCGUGUGUUUCAUCUUCUCU
Molecule: non-coding RNA, 21 nt
Organism: Caenorhabditis elegans
Lineage: Eukaryota; Metazoa; Nematoda; Chromadorea; Rhabditida; Rhabditidae
Source: Ensembl